AAUUGACCUCGGAUCAGUAGAAUGCCCCAU
RNAcentral lists this ribosomal RNA (30 nucleotides) under Diaporthe convolvuli. RNAcentral's name for it is "partial 28S ribosomal RNA". The record is from RNAcentral. Lineage: Eukaryota; Fungi; Ascomycota; Sordariomycetes; Diaporthales; Diaporthaceae.